Molecule: long non-coding RNA, 1996 nt
Organism: Neodiprion fabricii
Lineage: Eukaryota; Metazoa; Arthropoda; Insecta; Hymenoptera; Diprionidae
Exons: 2
Source: RefSeq, a predicted model, not a curated record
CCUGCAAAUGAUUUCGUGAUUAUUUGCUGGAACAAAAUGCUAUCAACAAUGACGAACCCACCACAGUGAAAAUAAAUUCAUUACGAAAAUGGAGAUCUGGUAGAGCGAUGAAAUUUGACACGACAACAAGAUCGAGCUAUCUCCGAUCGGCGGCUCAGCAAACGGGAUUCCCUUGAAGCCGAAGAAUCUUCUACCGAGAUGGGUGACCAUAUUUAUACCUCGAAGUGUCCCCUGAGGAAUCGUCGUUUCCGGACGGAUCCAAUCCUCGUCGGCAGGAAUCGCUCCAUCUUUUAUUGAAGUGAUACCACAGUUCGCAAGACAUGUGCUCAGUAAAAGUGCCUCGAUUAGGUAUGCGGUUGCAUUAUAACACGAAAGAAAAGCGAUCGGAUUUACAAACAUGACUGCAGUUCGGAUUGGAAUGUACGGUACUUGACAAAGAUAGCAACCUGAGUUCUUUUUAUCUCAGUACACUGACAUGGGUCUUACCGUUUCUAAGCGCAUGUAUGUUGAGCGACAAUUAGAGGAUUUACAAUGUUAUCAAUUUUUCGGUUCAUGAUGAUAAGAUACUACAUCUCGGCGCAUUAGUUCUUGAGAGUGGUAAUUUUGGCUAGCUUCAGCGGUUAUCAACAUUGAUGUGAAUUACGAACGACGAUAGCUAAUACGAACAGUAUAAGUACUGUUCAUAAUAAUUGUUUUUACAAUCGUAUCUGGUUGUAAUAAUAAUCUGUCCACUGAUAGCACGGCUCAACAUGAAAUUUUUUUUUUGCGGAAUUCACAUUUGAAUAGAGAAAUUUUUGUUCUAUACAUCAAAUAAUAACCAAAAUCUAUAUUUAUUACAUAAAAAGUUCGCUUCUGUCUUUUUCACGUUGAUAAAUAAUACAUCAACACGAUUUUUGAGUCUGGGUUCUAGAUGUCAGAUUUUGAUUUCUUUUACGUAACUAAUUAAAGAAAAAAGCGGCUGAAGUUUGUUUUUGUAGAAACCAGAACGAAAUUUCGGAUUUAAAUAAAAAUUACCUAUUUUCUGAAACCUUUAUUGUAAAUUUCAACAAAACGAAAUUCAGUUUCGCAUUUAAAUCAAUUUUAUUCAAAAAUUUCAAUGCGAAACUUAAGUUCGUCCAAUUGCUAUUCACAAUAAAUGUUUGAGCGGACAGGUAAUUUUUUUUAUAUAAGACUUUUUUUUUUUUUUUUUGAAAUUGAAAAUUAUGCGUACUCAAUAUUAAGUAUAUUUGAUAAGGUACGAAUAGCAGAGUGCAAUUCAAUUUAUUUAUAAAUAUAUUAAAACACGAGCCGUCAUUAGGUUUAAAAUUCAUUCAUUCAUCCAUUCCAUGUGUAUAGUGUUUAAAAUAGUGUAUAUUGUUAAAACUGGUGUAUAUUGUUAAAAUUAUAAAUAAUUGGAAAUAACUGUCUUUCGUCGAGGCACUAUAUUCUUGGAUUUCACUUUUGUUGUUUCUUCGUUUUACAUCGUCUCUCUUUAAAUUUGUCGUGACUUUUGGAGUGUAUAAUAAUUAAUUUGAAAUGUUCGUCCUCGGGGAUUUAAUUUACUUGUUUAUUAUUAUUUCGUCGAUUUCUGAUUUGUUCAGACUUAAUUUCAGAGAGGGGAACCUCCGCACCUUCCUCUUCUUAGAGAGAUGUAGACCAAGCAACUCCUACAAUUUUAAAUUUGUGACCAGGUGCCAUCUAGCAAUAUAAAACUCAAGGAUGAAUAUGCAAUAAUUAAUUAAACGACGUAAGAAUAAAGGUUAGAUGUUACAAUGCAUAAGAAGAAUUGAUUACAAAAUGAUAGUUUAUUUAAAAAAAAAAGAUUGUUAUGAUCCGGCAUUAGUUGUACACUACUAUCGUAACAGAUUGCCAAAAUACACAAAUAUUGAAAUACAAAAAUGCUUCUUACAGGCUUUAUGCUAAUUAUAGAAAAAAAAGGCAAUAAUGAAGUUUUGUAGGUGGAUGGUUACUUGUUUUCACCGGUGGCGCUGCAAGUUUUUCUUCUUAAAACGAAAAA